RNAcentral lists this ribosomal RNA (379 nucleotides) under uncultured eukaryote. RNAcentral's name for it is "partial 18S ribosomal RNA". It matches the Rfam family "Eukaryotic small subunit ribosomal RNA", at positions 592 to 976 of the family's 1831-position model. The record is from RNAcentral.
CAAUAGCGUAUAUUAAAGUUGUUGCGGUCAAAAAGCUCGUAGUUGGAUUUCUGUUGAGAGCGACCGGUCCAUACCAUGUAUGCGUAUCUGGCUUGCUCUCGGCAUCCUCUCGAUAGACGUUGCUGCGCUUGAUUGCGUGGCGCGGAUCUCGGGACUUUUACUUUGAGGAAAUUAGAGUGUUCACGGCAGGCUUUCGCCAGAAUACAUUAGCAUGGAAUAAUACUAUAGGAUCUUGGUUCUAUUUUGUUGGUUUCUAGAAUUGAGAUAAUGAUUAAUAGGGACAAUUGGGGGCAUUCGUAUCAACACGUCAGAGGUGGAAUUCUUGGAUUGUGUUGCGACGAACUACUGCGAAAGCAUUUGCCAAGGAUGUUUUCAUUGA